CGCGGCCUAUCAGCUUGUUGGUGAGGUAAUGGCUCACCAAGGCGUCGACGGGUAGCCGGCCUGAGAGGGUGACCGGCCACACUGGGACUGAGACACGGCCCAGACUCCUACGGGAGGCAGCAGUGGGGAAUAUUGCACAAUGGGCGAAAGCCUGAUGCAGCAACGCCGCGUGAGGGAUGACGGCCUUCGGGUUGUAAACCUCUUUUAGCAGGGAAGAAGCGAAAGUGACGGUACCUGCAGAAAAAGCGCCGGCUAACUACGUGCCAGCAGCCGCGGUAAUACGUAGGGCGCAAGCGUUAUCCGGAAUUAUUGGGCGUAAAGAGCUCGUAGGCGGUUUGUCGCGUCUGCUGUGAAAUCCCGAGGCUCAACCUCGGGUCUGCAGUGGGUACGGGCAGACUAGAGUGCGGUAGGGGAGAUUGGAAUUCCUGGUGUAGCGGUGGAAUGCGCAGAUAUCAGGAGGAACACCGAUGGCGAAGGCAGAUCUCUGGGCCGUUACUGACGCUGAGGAGCGAAAGGGUGGGGAGCAAACAGGCUUAGAUACCCUGGUAGUCCACCCCGUAAACGUUGGGAACUAGUUGUGGGGUCCAUUCCACGGAUUCCGUGACGCAGCUAACGCAUUAAGCUCCCCGCCUGGGAGUACGG
RNAcentral lists this ribosomal RNA (642 nucleotides) under uncultured bacterium. Its description in RNAcentral is "bacterial SSU rRNA". It matches the Rfam family "Bacterial small subunit ribosomal RNA", at positions 232 to 885 of the family's 1533-position model. The record is from RNAcentral.